CCUACGAGUGUUGCAUGCAAGAUCUAAGAGCUUCUAUGGCAUAUUUGGAGCUUUGAACAUUAAUAAGGAAAACUCAUUUCUGGACUCAGGAAUCUCACUUAUCCGCUAAGGACAACUGGUAAUGGCAAGGGGUAAGUUGGUUCAACCAUGAGUUGGAGAGCUCUGGGGGUGAGUGUACAUUGUCAGCUGCUCAUCCACCACGGUCGAGGGAUUGUACAGGGAUGGAAACCUAAAACGUGUAUUUUUCCAUUAGAGUGGCCUUGAUUGUAUAUAACUUUUGGAAUUUUGUAAAUCUGUUCAUUAAACCCUGUUUUUGGGAUCCCAUGUACUAAAUAUUUAUUUUAAUGAAAAUUAU
This is a long non-coding RNA of Humulus lupulus (European hop), 355 nucleotides long. RefSeq lists it as uncharacterized. The transcript has 3 exons. The record is from RefSeq and is a predicted model, not a curated record. Lineage: Eukaryota; Viridiplantae; Streptophyta; Magnoliopsida; Rosales; Cannabaceae.